This 477-nucleotide ribosomal RNA is filed under the name uncultured bacterium. Its description in RNAcentral is "bacterial SSU rRNA". It matches the Rfam family "Bacterial small subunit ribosomal RNA", at positions 365 to 832 of the family's 1533-position model. The record is from RNAcentral.
UUCGCAAUGCCCGAAAGGGUGACGAAGCGACGCCGCGUGUGGGAAGAAGGCCUUCGGGUUGUAAACCACUGUCGGGAGUUAGGAAAUGUAAGGGUGUUAAUAGUAUCCUUACUUGACUAAGGCUCCGGAGGAAGCCACGGCUAACUCUGUGCCAGCAGCCGCGGUAAUACAGAGGCGGCAAGCGUUGUUCGGAAUUAUUGGGCGUAAAGAGCACGUAGGCGGCCUUGUAAGUCAGUUGUGAAAGCCUUCUGCUUAACGGAAGAACAGCAUCUGAUACUGCAAGGCUAGAGUGCGGAAGGGGAGAGUGGAACUUCUGGUGGAGCGGUGAAAUGCGUAGAUAUCAGAAGGAACGCCGGCGGCGAAAGCGGCUCUCUGGACCGUAACUGACGCUGAGUGUGCGAAAGCUAGGGGAGCAAACGGGAUUAGAUACCCCGGUAGUCCUAGCCGUAAACGAUGGGCACUAAGUAGAGGGGUUUU